CGGUAAACUCUUGCUUGCAAGAGAUACGAGUGGCGCACGGGUGAGUAACGCGUAUGCAACCUACCCUUAACUGGGGGAUAGCCCGAAGAAAUUCGGAUUAAUACCCCAUAAUAUCACAUUUUCGCAUGAUUUUGUGAUUAAAGUUCCGGCGGUUAAGGAUGGGCAUGCGUGACAUUAGAUAGUUGGUAAGGUAACGGCUUACCAAGUCCGCGAUGUCUAGGGGGUCUGAGAGGAUGAUCCCCCACACUGGUACUGAGACACGGACCAGACUCCUGCGGGAGGCAGCAGUAGGGAAUAUUGGGCAAUGGACGAAAGUCUGACCCAGCCAUGCCGCGUGCAGGAUGACGGCCUUAUGGGUUGUAAACUGCUUUUGUAUAGGAAGAAACCCCAGAACGUGUUCUGGGUUGACGGUACUAUAAGAAUAAGGACCGGCUAACUCCGUGCCAGCAGCCGCGGUAAUACGGAGGGUCCAAGCGUUAUCCGGAUUCAUUGGGUUUAAAGGGUGCGUAGGCGGAAUAAUAAGUCAGUGGUGAAAUCCUACAGCUCAACUGUAGAACUGCCGUUGAAACUAUUAUUCUUGAGUACAGUGGAAGUGGGCGGAAUGUGUCAUGUAGCGGUGAAAUGCAUAGAUAUAACACAGAACACCGAUUGCGAAGGCAGCUCACUAUACUGUAACUGACGCUGAGGCACGAAAGCGUGGGGAGCGAACAGGAUUAGAUACCCUGGUAGUCCACGCCGUAAACGAUGAUUACUCGAUGUUGGCGAUACACUGUCAGCGUCUAAGCGAAAGUGUUAAGUAAUCCACCUGGGGAGUACGGUCGCAAGAUUGAAACUCAAAGGAAUUGACGGGGGCCCGCACAAGCGGAGGAGCAUGUGGUUUAAUUCGACGAUACGCGAGGAACCUUACCUGGGCUUAAAUGUAGAAUGAUCGUCUGGGAAACCAGUCUUUUCUUCGGAACAAUCUACAAGGUGCUGCAUGGUUGUCGUCAGCUCGUGCCGUGAGGUGUCGGGUUAAGUCCCUUAACGAGCGCAACCCCUAUCUCUUGUUGCUAACAGGUAAUGCUGAGGACUCUGGAGAGACUGCCUACGCAAGUAGUGAGGAAGGUGGGGAUGACGUCAAAUCAGCACGGCCCUUAUGUCCAGGGCUACACACGUGCUACAAUGGUCAGUACAGAGGGCUGCUACUUGGUGACAAGAUGCUAAUCUCGAAAACUGAUCUCAGUUCGGAUCGAAGUCUGCAACUCGACUUCGUGAAGCUGGAUUCGCUAGUAAUCGCAUAUCAGCCAUGAUGCGGUGAAUACGUUCCCGGGCCUUGUACACACCGCCCGUCGAGCCACGGAAGUUGGGGGUGCCUGAAGUCUGUU
RNAcentral lists this ribosomal RNA (1364 nucleotides) under uncultured bacterium. RNAcentral describes it as "bacterial SSU rRNA". It matches the Rfam family "Bacterial small subunit ribosomal RNA", at positions 67 to 1432 of the family's 1533-position model. The record is from RNAcentral.